CGGCGCAGCGCAGACAGCCCAGGGCCUCCCUCCGGCGCGGCGCGGACAGCCUGGGGCCUCCCACGGGCGCGGCGCGCUCCGGUGACGGCGGCGGCUGAGGCGGCAGGAUGCCUCCGAAAGGGAAAGGCGGCGGCAAGGGGGGCAAGGGUGGCGAUGGCGGCGGCGAGGGCAAGGCCCAGGGCCCGAAGGGCGGCGGCAGCGCCGUGAAGGUUCGACACAUCCUGUGCGAAAAGCACGGCAAAGCCAUGGAGGCCAUGGAGAAGCUGAAGUCCGGAGUGCGCUUCAGCGAAGUAGCCACACAGUACAGCGAGGAUAAAGCCAGACAAGGGGCAGUGACAAGAGAGCAGAAAGGCACGGCUGAAGCAUACAAGCCCCACAGCAGCAGGAAAGCACUUGUUAAGGGCAGGGUGCUGGCCUGCCUUGGUUCUAGCCAGCCAUCACUUGCUGAGAGGCACCACUGAGAGUUCAUCCCUGUGCUGUCCUCCCAUUUAUGAAGUGGUACACCCUGCAGAGACUGAGACUUCCAAACACUGGCUGGAAAGGGAGACUUGGGCUGGAUGACCAGAGGUUCCAUGGUGGGACCUUUCCAGGACGCAGCAUUUGCCUUGCCUGUGAGCAGCAUGGACAAGCCAGUAUAUACAGACCCUCCUGUCAAAACAAAGUUUGGGUACCACAUUAUCAUGGUGGAAGGCAGGAAAUAAAAUAUGCAUGACCCUUAAA
Molecule: RNA transcript, 720 nt
Organism: Dromaius novaehollandiae (emu)
Lineage: Eukaryota; Metazoa; Chordata; Aves; Casuariiformes; Dromaiidae
Gene: PIN4
Gene name: peptidylprolyl cis/trans isomerase, NIMA-interacting 4
Exons: 5
Source: RefSeq, a predicted model, not a curated record